Molecule: long non-coding RNA, 148 nt
Organism: Sphaeramia orbicularis (orbiculate cardinalfish)
Lineage: Eukaryota; Metazoa; Chordata; Actinopteri; Kurtiformes; Apogonidae
Exons: 3
Source: RefSeq, a predicted model, not a curated record
UCUCUAAAAGACUAAAAAACUACAACAUUGGACUGCUUUACGGCAUACGUCACAUCCCACCUCCACUUUCAGAAGACGAGGCAGGUAAACAAAGUUACAAGUGAAGGAAAGCUUCAAAUAGCCUAACGGUCAUGGCUGAAGCAACAAG